AGCAGCCGCGGUAAUUCCAGCUCCAAUAGCGUAUAUUAAAGUUGUUGCAGUUAAAAAGCUCGUAGUUGAAUUUCGGGGUUAGUAGGUUGGUCAUGCCUCUGGUAUGUACUGGUCUCACUGAUUCCUCCUUCCUGAUGAGCCGUAAUGCCAUUAAUUUGGUGUUGCGGGGAAUUUGGACUGUUACUUUGAAAAAAUUAGAGUGUUUAAAGCAAGCUAACGCUUGAAUACAUUAGCAUGGAAUAAUGAAAUAGGACGUUCGAUCCUAUUUUGUUGGUUUCUAGGAUUGACGUAAUGAUUAAUAGGGAUAGUUGGGGGCAUUAGUAUUCAAUUGUCAGAGGUGAAAUUCUUGGAUUUAUUGAAGACUAACUACUGCGAAAGCAUUUGCCAAGGAUGUUUUCAUUAAUCAAGAACGAAAGUUAGGGGAUCCAAGACGAUCAGAUACCGUCGGAGUCUUAACCAUAAACUAUGCCGACUAGGGAUCCGGAUGACGUUAAUUUUUUAAUGACUCA
RNAcentral lists this ribosomal RNA (509 nucleotides) under uncultured Glomus. RNAcentral's name for it is "SSU rRNA". It matches the Rfam family "Eukaryotic small subunit ribosomal RNA", at positions 569 to 1078 of the family's 1831-position model. Lineage: Eukaryota; Fungi; Glomeromycota; Glomeromycetes; Glomerales; Glomeraceae. The record is from RNAcentral.